AUUGAACGCUGGCGGCAUGCCUUACACAUGCAAGUCGAACGGUAACAGGUUAAGCUGACGAGUGGCGAACGGGUGAGUAAUAUAUCGGAACGUGCCCAGUCGUGGGGGAUAACUGCUCGAAAGAGCAGCUAAUACCGCAUACGACCUGAGGGUGAAAGCGGGGGAUCGCAAGACCUCGCGCGAUUGGAGCGGCCGAGGUCAGAUGAGGUAGUUGGUGGGGUAAAAGCCUACCAAGCAAACGAUCUGUAGCUGGUCUGAGAGGACGACCAGCCAAACUGGGACUGAGACACGGCCCAGACUCCUACGGGAGGAAGAAGUGGGGAAUUUUGGACAAUGAACGCAAGUCUGAUCCAGCCAUGCCGCGUGCAGGACGAAGGCCUUCGGGUUGUAAACUGCUUUUGUACGGAGCGAAACGGUCCUCUCUAAUACAGGGGGCUAAUGACGGUACCGUAAGAAUAAGCACCGGCUAACUACGUGCCAGCCGCCGCCGUAA
This 493-nucleotide ribosomal RNA is filed under the name uncultured bacterium. RNAcentral describes it as "partial 16S ribosomal RNA". It matches the Rfam family "Bacterial small subunit ribosomal RNA", at positions 30 to 523 of the family's 1533-position model. The record is from RNAcentral.